AGAAAGGUCUUCCUUUUCAGUUGGUUCACCCCCCAAUGGCUGCUGUGGCUGGUGCACCGCGCCCAUCUGAAGCCAGGAGCCAGGUGUUUCCUCCUGGUCUCCCAUGUGGGUGCAGGGCCUAAGGACCUGGGCCAUCCUCCACUGCACUCCCGGGCCACAGCAUAGAGCUGGCCUGGAAGAGGAGCAACCGGGACAGAAUCCGGCGCCCUGACCGGGACUAGAACCCGGGUUGCCGGCGCCAUAGGCAGAGGAUUAGCCUAUUGAGCUGCGGCGCCGGCCCUACUUUUUUUUUUUUUAAAGAUUUGUUUGUUUCUUUGAAAGAGGGAGAGAGUGAAUGAGAUUGAGAUCUUCCAUCCACAUAGUCUGACAGCCAUGGCUCGGCCAGGUGGAAGUCAGGAGCUUGGAACUCCAUCUGGGUCUUGUACAUGGGUGGCAGGAACCCAAGUACUUGGGCUGCCUUCCCAUUUUCCCAGGCAUAUUAGCAGGGAGCUGGAUGGGAAGUGGAGCAGCUGGGACUUGAACCACUGCUCGUACAGGAUGCUAGCACUGUGGGUGGUGGUGUAACCUGCACCACGUGUGUACUUGUGACAGGAGGCCCACCGUGCCAGGCUGUCUCUGCUUUUGUGACAUUAGCAACCUUGCUGUGCACUUCUUGGAUCUUGUGAUUUACUGAGGGUUACAAAGGUGAUAUUUUAAUUCUUAUUUAUUAGCAAGGAUAUUUCCAUAAAGAGAAACCACCUUGUUUGCAUUACCUGUGAGUAUAGUUCAUAAAGGUAGGGUAAAUUGUUAUUUACCUACUUUGAAAAUAGAGUUGCUUCCCUGGCACCCUCUGAAGAUGACUGAUGGUUUCCUAAAGCAUUAUGAACUUAAUGGCAACAAACUAUCAUCAGGCUGUCCAUCUGCUAGGGUGCGAUGUGUCAGCCCUCUGCGCCGUCAUCACAGACUUCACACGCGUGCCCACUGUCAGAGGGUGAGGAACUGUUGGCCCUCUGAGCUUUCCCGAUGACUGCAGCAGGGUCUUAGGCUGCCACGUGCCCCGUGGCAUCCUUCCUUGCCCAGGCUGUGGUGCCGUAUUGUCUUGGAGGUGCUGGUUUGUUCCCAUCCAGUUGUAUAUUCGGGGUUUUGUUGUGGGUCUUUGCCAUGUCCCUGUGUUGACACGUGCGCUUCUGGCACGUGCUAUUUCACUGCCUCCUCCCUUCCCUUUCCGAGUUCUGUGUUCAUAAAUAGGACCUUUGCUGGAUUGGACGCAGUGGGGCAGGCACCUGUGUCUAAGCCUGUCAUUUGCCCAAGAUUGGUCAGUAGUGGAUUCCUCAUAGCUCUACGCAUUGUUCGGUUCAAGAGAAGUCAAAGAGAGGGAAGCUGGAUAUUGGGUGACUUCAGUCUAUUGAGUAUGGUGCCAAUUAAGUCAACCGUGCAAUGCAGUGAGAUGCGUGUGGGAGAUGGAGAGGAAGCCCAGCCCACUUCAGCCUUGGUGCUAUAUUCUUGCAACUACGAUUCACAUUGACCUCACAACUCACUGCAAAUGACUGACCAGGUAACAAAACCCAAACAAAGACAGUUUUCAUAGGACAAUACCAUUGGUGUUCACUCCAGAAGGUGGCGGGGGUGGGCUUAUUAGACUAAUUAGAAAUACUAGUCAUGCCUUGAACACUGAGCACAAAUAAAUAGCUUUUAAUUGUAGGGUCAAAGACAGUUUAGCCUUUGCUUCUUCCCUUAAAUCCCAGCUUGCAGCUGGGGGACCCUUCUGGCAAGACCUGCUGGGAGGCCAGGGGCGCAUCCUCACCCUUCUAAGAUGUGAGGACCAGGGACUCAGGAGACAUUCCGCUGCUCCAGCUUGCUCUAGAAAUCCCUGUCUGUCCAUAUGGACUGUGCACUUCAGUACAGCACAGCCUAGGAGUGGAGGCAGAAAAUGGUCUUCAGUGUUGGCUUCCAAGGGUCUCCUAUCAUUUAGGCAAGAAAGCAGAAACCACAGAACUGACAGAACUGACCCGAGACGUAGAAAGCAAACCAGCAUGCACCUUGCAUUGACAUCCUAUAGUAUCCUACCUGUAACUGUAGUGAAAAGUAGAUGCUAAAUCAGGUCUUCCAGCUAACUCUUGUGCCACGUUCUCCUUGGCGUAAUUACCUGUUGGAAAACGAGAAGCCUGGGCCCACACAGGCCAGGUGCUUCAUUCUCAUCUGCUCUAACAAAUGGGCACUUAGAAAAAUGAUGGCCAGUGAUGACAGUUGAAGAACCUCCAUGACCCGGGGCCCCUCACAGCCACGGCCAAGCUGAAGGUUAAAUCUCCAGCGUAAAGCUGCAGUGUUGUCUGGUGUGCAGGACUCGGCGGCCUGGUCGGCGCCACCCAAGGACUUGAGUCGUCAAAGCUGAGUAGUUCUGCUCCUGCAUUCUGUUGGAGUCUUGCCCUGUUUCUCCAUUUUCCUCCUCGUUGCUGCAUCUUGGUAAACAAAGCUGACGAGGGUUUGGAAUUUAAAGAAAGUACAGCGCUAGAGGGGAGAGCCAGCUUCAUGACAACACAGGACGUGACGGUGGGACCAGACUGCCGUUCCGGGGGAGCUGUGCGUCACGGCAGGCCUCUGCAGGAGAACACUGUGGCGAAAGGAAGACUUUGCAGGACAGGAAAACAAAAACAGCGAAAACUUCAGUCACUGCAAGAGUUGUCAUUAUGCCUGGUCCAGGUUCAGUACUUGGAAACGUGACAUUUCUGAGGCGUGUUGAGAAAGAGAAGAAACCAACCAAAGAGAAAAGGUCCGCCCCAGCGAGAUCACUGUAGGCUCCUGUGAGUGGUAAGUAAUGCCUAUGUUUAAAAAUCCAGACACUAAAGAGAGACUCACGUUCUAAAAUUGAGUUUAAAUUAGUAGUUGGAGUGCAUGAAAUGGAAACCCAGCGAUUUUUUUUUGUCUGCUCUUAAGUUGACCAAUCUUGAAUUCAAGACAAGUUCAAAAACUAGACGCAAGGUGCUUUCUAAGCAGCAAAGCUCAUGGCUAUUUAGCAUCGAUUCUGUAAAACAGACCAAUGCAUUACACUGUCAGAGAUGGAAAAUGAUCAGCACUUCACGGUGGUCACUAACCCAUUGAGUUCAACUCUGCAUCGUACAUCAUACAUUACACUCGCUACAAAAUAGUACUUUCUGCAUUUUGCUUUUUCAGUUUGGGAUAAUUCCUGAGCUCAGCCUAACAAUUAGGUCAUAAUUCAUUCUUCUGUAAGUCUCAUUUUUUUUUCAGGGUAACAUAUACAGACCUGUGUUUCCUCAUCCCACUAAAUGUGCCAAAAAGCACUGUGUCAUUUCCUUACAAAAUUACAUAAAACUCUCAACCUUUUAGUUGUGACAUUGUGUUACCCUGAGACGUGAGGUCCUGAUCACUAGGAUUGGGUUUUUUGGCAGAGGUGGCAAGAGAGAUGUGAAGGUCUAGGUAGGUGUUUGUCACUUCUUGUGUCCCCAUCGGCAAGCAUAAAGGAUGGGGAGCAGGCACUGGAACAAAAGGAACCCUCCCGGCCGAGGUGGUGGAAGGGCUCUGGAGUUAACUUCAUUGCUGCUGCACACACAGUAGGUCAGACUUCACGUGUAAGUACAGAGAUUUUUAAAGUCCUCGCCUAUGUGCCACCGUUUGUUGUUGCAAGAAGGGAACUAAGAAAAGGAUGUUCUGGUUGAGUUCACGAGGAAUUCCUAUGCUUCCUGAUGACUAACUGCACAGGUCCUUCCGGGACAGACUUCAUAAUAUUCCAGGCAUCGAAGUGCAUCAGCCCGACCAGGGGUUUCCCAUUAAUAGCAAGAAUUUCAUCUCCAGCUUCUAUUGUCCCAGCUUGUUCAGCUGCACCACCUGUGAGAAUCAACACAGACAAUGGCUUGGGAUUUCUCUGACCACUGUGAAGGUACCAAGUGGCCUCAGACACGAGAACAGUCUCUGAAUGGUAGGCCUGUGUUCUCUGGGUGGGGCCAUAUCCCCAAGGAAGAAACAGAAAGCAUUGUAGCUCCAAAAGUAAAUUGGACUGCAUAAAAAAAUCAACUCUAACCUGCUCCCCUCAAACCCAAGAUAAAAAGGAACAAUUGACAAGGGGAAGAUUCUUCCAAUGUAUUUAAAUCAUCACUAAGAACAAAAUAAAGAGGAAGCUGGCAAAGGAGAGCAACAGCUAAAAUCCAGAUAGCCAAGUCCAAGUUGACCCAGCUAGCGCAGUUUCUAAAUAAUACUCACAUUCUGAGAAUCUGCGAUUACCUGCCUAUCUGUGACUGUAGAGAUUAAUUAUUUCUACAUUAUAGCUUGGUGUAGGUAAUAGCAAAUUUAUGAGCUUGAGAAGAAAAUACAAGUUUAAGCCCUGCUCCUUUUACACACAUAAACAUGGAAGGAGACUGAAGGUGGAGGUUCCUUAUGGAGGAAACAGCACUAAAAGGAAAAUCUUCUCAAACCUUAGAUCUUAAAAAAGUCACUGUUAAUUAUUUGAUAUUUAUAUUAAUUAUUUGAUAUUUAUAAAUUCAACAAAAAGUCCCAAUUCAACCCACCAAAGGACACAAACAUUUAAUGUUAGUGAUAGAGGCAGAUACUAUCUCACCAAUAUCCUAGCAGCUCUGUAGUGGAGCAAAGAAUGGCUUUCUCAGGACACAGUUUUAGAAGGACCAAAGCACUGCUGCUUAACAUAACUAAUGGUCGUGUAGCCAGUGUUGCCUUCUAGAAUACUUACUACAGGCUCUGAGCAGGUCACAUGAAACCAGAGAGUUCUGUGAGCAUUCACCUGGGUCUAAGCACAUGGGGGAUUCCAGCCGGAAGAGGACACUGAGCCACUGUGCCUGUGGAGGCACACCGAGCAGUUGACCGGUGUCACUUCAGGCAAGUUAGAAACAUUUCUCACAGCAAAGUGGUGAUGCUGACACGUUCCUUGGUACCUCACUGGGACCUUAGAUGAGACCCAUUCAGGAACCAGGGCUCUGCAGGCCAAAGGUGGUGCCAGCUUUUGGACUUUUUAUAUGAUGGAGUUUCAACCACUAUCAUUUGGGAUUUUCUAUUGUUACUCACGAGGUGGCAAACUGAAUCCUCACUGAUUCUCCAUUUAAACAAGAUGUUAGAAAACAUCCUUUACAAGACUUUUUUGGGGAAAAAGCAUAAAAGCUUCCUAUAAUUUUUAAAAGCAAUUUAUAUACAUAUUUACUUGAGAGCAAGUGAGCUUUCUCCCAUCCAUUGGUUCACUCCCCAAAUACCCACAAUGGCCAGGGUUGACUGGGCUGAAGCUGGCACCAGGAAUGCAGUCCAGGUCCCUCGUGGGUGGCAGGGACUCAAGUGCUCGAGCCAUCACCUGUUGCUUCCCAGGGUGCACGUUAGCAGGGAGCUGGAAUUGGGGAUGUGGGCGUCUCAACCCCAGGACUGUCCUUGCAUAAUUGUUACACAGUCCUAGGUUCCUUACAGUUGUUACUGUGAACUGGUACCUCAUAGUGCAGAAUCUGCACUUGACUUUGCCCUAGUUCCUGUUUGUGUGCUGGUUCCAGUUAAACACCUGAUUUAUUUAUUUGGUUGCUAUGUAACCUUCCCUUUUAUGAAUAUAUCUCAUCUAUCAUUUGGCCACAGGCAGAAAUUUAAAUUGUCUGAUAGCCUGCAUUUUAAUGAGCGCAACCAGAUAUAUCCCUGGGUGGGAGGUACACUCCUUCCACCAGAGAGAUGGCACGCUUUCCCCACCGCAGCCUCAGAGCUGUGUCUGGCCAACCUGAUGAAUUACAAAGCAGAUUCCGAAUAGUUACUGUAAUUUCCACCCAAUAACUAAUUUAAGGUUGAAAUCCUUUUCCUGUGUUUCCUGAGCAUUUAGGUUUUAACUUUGGUCAAUUUUCUAUUUGCUUUCUUUACCCAAAUUUUCUCUUUAUUUUGUAUGUUUUUUAUUGAACUAUAGUUCUCUACACUUUCUGGACAUAACCGUUUGCUGGUUAAAUUCACGGCAGAUGUCUUCUAGAUGGGCUCAGCCUCUGAGUCAUGUCAUCAACAUUGUACGGUCAGGUGUCACACAGUGAUGCCGUGGUCAGUGCUGUCGCAUGUAUGAUAGUUGCCCUGCAGAGGUGACGUCCCCCAGUGAUGUCUGUUUUAGCUUGCACAAGGAUACUCAAUGGUGUUUGCACGAAGGCAGACUCGGCCAACCACGGUAUGGGAUUUGUCCCCGUCGUCAACGGUGCGUGAUGACUCAACGUGCUUUCUAAAACAGCCAUGUUUUUGUUUAUGUUCAUGAAGUCAUUUUACAGUGGUGGUGGCUCCUGUGUGCUGGCUGUGAAUUCACCUGCAUUGGUGAACUACUUACACUGGCCUGGUAUUAGGUUAUUUUAAUUUUUUUUCUUCCAGUCAGGAAAAACAUAGUUUGCCAGUAAUGGCAAAUUGCGCUCGUACAUUUCCAGUUUUUAUGCCACUUGCCUUCUUUGUGGCUUAGUGUACUGCUGAGUUAUUUGGCAUCCUGAGGAAGGGAGAAAUAGUUUCACAAGUGCACCAGUGACAGUGUCCUUUCAUAAAGGGCGUUAAAGAUAAUGACCUAUUGUUUUCAUGGACGGGCUCUAGGAGAAUAUGUAAUUCUUUUACUCUUCAAAGAAAAUUUUUAUUUUUUAGAUUAAUGUGCUACUUUUAUGUUUUUGUGGAGUACCAGUGCACUCUCUCAACACGCCAUACAGCAUAGACUGAUCAACCUAGGUAAUUAACAAAAAAAAAAAGAUAAACGAGACUGCUAAAGAUUUAUUUAUGGGGCUGGCAUGUGGCAGAACGGGUUAGGCUUCUGCCUGCGAUGCCUGCAUCCUACAUGGGCACUGGUUCGAGGCCCAGCUGCUCUGCUCCUGAUCAGGCUCCCUGCCCAUGUGCCUGGGAAGGCAGCAGCAGAUGGCCUGAGUGCUUGGUUCCCUGCACCCACUGGGGAGACCUGGGGAAGGCUCCUGGCUUCAACCUGGCCAUUGUGGGAAUGAACCAGUGGAUUAAGGACUUGUCUUUCCUGCUCUGACUCUGCCUUGCAAAUAAAUAAAUAAAUCUUUUAAAAGAAAUCCUUUAAACAUCAAACUUUAAAAAAAAAAAAAAAGAAUUUACUUAAUUGCAAGGCAGAGUCAAAGGGAAUGAGAGAUCUUCCAUCUGCUGGUUUACUCCCGACAUGGCCACAACAGCCACAGCUGAGCCAGGUGCCUCCUCCGGGUGUCUCACGUGGGUACAGGAGCCCAUGUACUUGGCCGUCUUCUGCUGCUUUUCCUAGGUGCAUAGCAGGGAGCUGGAUCAGGGAACCGCAGCUGGGACACGGACCAGCGCCCACAUGGGAUGCUGGCAUUGUAGGUGGUGGCCUUACCAGCUCUGCCACAGAGCUGACCCCUUUAUCUUUUCUAAUAGAUGUUUGGAGCUCAGCAGCUCCAGCACCAGGGAAGUCUCUUAAAAAUAUGGCACUUCUGCCAAGAGACACCUGGAGGUUUUUGCUUUUUAAAAUAGAAAUGUACAUUAAAAACUUUUUUCCUGUUAAUACUGAUUUUAAAAAUAUGCUGUGGGGUCACUAUGUGAUCAUUACAAACAAAUGCAACCCUUAGCCAAGAAAAAUGGACUUUACUAUUUGCUGAUAUACUCUUAUAUUCUCUAAGUGGGUUUCUGAUCCAUUUGUGAGAGUGAUUGUAUAUUGGCAUAUGUCAUAUAGUUGGUACAGUUACGUUAAUUGUUCAAGAAGCUGAAGAGACUUUGGAAGACCGCCUGGGGCCUGCACUGUGGUGUAGUAGGCUAAGCCUCCACCUGUGGCGCGAGCAUCCCAUAUGGGGAUGCUCUCUUCCCAUCCAGCCCUCUGCUUAUGGCCUGGGAAAGCAGUGGAGGAUGGGCCAAGUCCUUGGAUCCCUGCCACUCAUGGGGGAGCCCUGAAGGGAGUUCCAGGUUCCUGGCUUCAGCCUGGCCCAACCCAGCUGGUUGUAAGCAUUGGAAAAGAUGGAAAACCUCUCUCUCACUCUGCCUUUGAAAUACAUAUCUAUUUUAAAGGCCUGCGCUUGUCACUGGGACACACAUGGAAGGAGGCGGCCUGAGCUGUCCAGCAUGUACCUUUGUAGACUCUUUUAAUGAAGAGGGGCCCAUCUCCAGACACGGACGCCUUUCCUCCAUCCACGCUCAGUCCCAGCCCUGCCGAGGUCUUCAGCACUUCAACGCACAGGGCCCCGUGGGCGGCUCCGCUCCUCCCUGUGCAGAGAGAAACAACACGGCUGCUCAUCAUGCCCCCUGGUGCCACAGGCUCCCCGCUGCCUGGAUGUCCCCGUAACAAUCGUUGCGCCCAGUGUCCAGGCAGGCUCCGCAGGGAGCUGCCCUGUGGCUGUGUUCCUGCAAACAUGUCGCUCCCCCUCUUCGCGGAGGAACGACACAGGACCCUGCGCUGUUCUUUCGUCUGCUCGGCCCUCCCCGGGUUUGCUGCUGGUUCUUCCCGGGUUGGCUGCCGUCCCUCCACCUCCGUGGAAGGGCGGUUCCCCCUAGCCACUUUCCCCACUUCCGCGGGGGAGCGGCACACCGCCGGCCGGCUCUCUCGGGGGCUGCACAGGUGUUCCUUCAGAUAGAUGUUCCCCUUAGAUGUUCCUCGUGCAUAUUGUCUCUCUCCUCCUUUAUGGUCCUCUUCCACCAAUCCCAACUCUGCUACCCACACGCCGAGUACGCUGCUCUCCUCCAAUCAGGAGCAGGAUCAGCUCCUGCAGUUUGUCAAGUUGGUGAGAGGCAGCUGCGUAGAAGUUUACUCCUCCCCAGCACCAUAUUGUGGGAGAGCAGAUGCAUAGAAUAAGUCUUAAUUCCAGUAACUUUGCCUAGUCUCAGUUGCUCCCCACACAAACACAGCCCCCGACUGCUCCUGGGAAGCCGCACACUGGGAGUGCCUGUCUCAGUGGGGACAGGAAUCACCCUUGGGAAUCGCAGGUGAUUGCUGUCACGCAUCACCGUCUGUCCCUGCAACACCAGAUCCCCAGCCUUAUGAGGGUAGCACUGCUUCUACAAGAAGCAUCCAACAACACUGGACUUAACAUUUCAAGUUUUCUGACCCAGAAGUUAGCCAGCGUUUUCCUUUAUGUUCAGCCAGAAUCUGCUCUGUGUGCCAGCUGCUCGCACCGUGCUGGCCGAGGAACGGGCGUCUUACCGGCUCCAGGCUCCAGGGACAGGGUCUUUUUGCAUAACGACCCCUUCCCGUUGGCCGUGGGGGGCUCGGUCCCUUUCUUGAUGACCACGAGGGCGUCUCUGUGCAGCUGUGCCUGGUGCAGGACCUUCACGACGUCCCCGUGGGCUAAGCCGGCCAGUGAGGUGCCGUUGACUGACAGAAGGAAAUCCCCUCGGCGCAUGGUCCCUUCCUGAGAAGCCGCCCCCUGAGAAAACACCCUGUGAACCUGGGACGAGACAGAAGGGGACAACAGGACUCCAGUCAACGCCAGGGAGUGACUGCAGGUCCACACUAAAGGAGCUUUUUGGUUUUUUGUUUAAAUUGAUUUCUUUUAAAAGGCAAUGAGAGAGAGAUCUAUCCGCCAGUUGAUUUCCCAGAUGGCCGGGGCUGGGCCAGGCCUAAGCCUGGAUCUCCCACGUGGGUGCAGGGAUCCAAGGACUUCGGCUGUAUUUCCAGGCAUGUGAGCUGGGAGGCUGGCGCUGUGGCAUAGUAAGUUCAGCAUCUGUAGUGCCAGCAACCUAUAUGAGUGCUGGUCAAGUCCCAGCUGCCCCACUUCUGAUCCAGCUCUCUGCUGUGGCCUGGGAAAGCAGUGGAAGAUGGCCCAAGUGCUUGGGAGACCCAGAAACUCCUGGCUUCUUGCUUUAGAUGGGCCCAGCUCUGGCCGCUGUGGCCAUUUCAGGGAGUGAAUCAGCAGGUGGAAGACCUCUCUCUCUGCCUCUCAAAUAAGUAAAUCUUAAAAACAAAAAAAC
Oryctolagus cuniculus (rabbit) is the source of this 9846-nucleotide non-coding RNA. NCBI's taxonomy places the organism in Eukaryota, Metazoa, Chordata, Mammalia, Lagomorpha, Leporidae. The record is from RefSeq and is a predicted model, not a curated record.